CUCAUGAGCUCUAUACUCUGCAGAUACUAGCCUUAAUCUUUUCAUUUGCGCCGGCUGUUAGUCCCUUGAGUUUUAGCUAUCCUGCAGUUUUUAACUUCGGUGAUUCAAAUUCAGACACUGGUGGUCUGGUUGCCGGAGUGGCUUUUCCAGUAGGACCUCCCAAUGGACAAACCUACUUCCAGGAGCCGGCAGGGCGGUUUUGCGACGGCCGCUUGAUUAUCGAUUUUCUGAUGGAUGCGAUGGACCGUCCAUUUCUGAGUCCAUAUCUGGAUUCUGUAGGUGCCCCUAACUUCCAAACGGGGUGUAAUUUUGCAACUGGAGGAUCUACUAUACUUCCAGCAAAUGCAAAUUCCAGAAGUCCAUUUUCAUUUGGAAUUCAGGUGGCUCAAUUUAUCAGAUUCAAGGCUCGGGUUCUUGAAUUACUAGCUAAAGGAGAGAAAUUUCAGAAGUAUCUCCCCCCGGAAAAUUACAUCAAGCAAGGCCUUUACAUGUUUGAUGUGGGUCAGAAUGAUCUCGACGGUGCAUUGUACUCGAAAUCAGUGGACCAAAUGCUAGCUUAUAUUCCCAAAAUCUUGUCAGAGUUUGAGACUGGAAUUCAGAGAUUAUAUAACGAGGGUGCCAGGAAUUUCUGGAUUCAUAGCACAGGACCACUUGGCUGCUUACCCAGAAUUAUUGCAACAUUUGGGAAAACCGCAUCAAAGCUCGACCAGAUUGGAUGUGUUAACUCACACAACCGAGUAGCAAAAGCUUUCAACAAACAGUUACAUGAUCUUUGUACAGAGUUUCGAGCACAAUUUCCCGAUGCUAGUGUCACUUAUGUGGACAUUUUCUCAAUAAAGUGGAACCUCAUUUCAAAUUUUUCUCAGUAUGGUAAGUAAAAUCCAAUGGCCUUUUGCAUCGUCAUUGGUUCUUAUUUACAACUACAAAAUCUUAUGAACAACGGCUUUUCAGGCUUCAAACAGCCUUUAGCAGCCUGCUGUGGAUAUGGUGGGCCGCCAUUAAAUUUUGACAACAGGAUUGCUUGUGGUGAAACCAAGAAUUUGAAUGGUAGCACAGUGACUGCAAACCCUUGCAGCAAUACUGCUGAAUACGUGAAUUGGGAUGGAAACCAUUAUACAGAAGCAGCAAACCGAUAUGUUUCAGACCAAAUUCUAUCAGGAAAUUACUCUGACCCACCUCUAACAGUAAACAGGCCAUUUAAUUACAAACCAAAGUUCAUUAAUUACAAAAUGUUGUACUAACUGUUCUUUGGUUUCCUUAAAUUUUUAUGCCAAAUGACUGCCAAUAUCGUACUAGUUCCGUUGAGAUUGGUUGGGUCAAUGCUUAGGAGGACACAUUAUUAAUGACAAAAAAGAGAAGAUUUCUUAUGUUAAUCUGAAUUUGUGUUAGAUUGGCUCCAUCUGCUGUCAGUGAUCCUUUCUCGGUAUUUAAAGAAUGAGAAUUGUGAUCUUUUAUAUAUAUAAUAAUUUUUUUACAAAACGU
Molecule: unclassified non-coding RNA, 1482 nt
Filed under: Hevea brasiliensis (rubber tree)
Lineage: Eukaryota; Viridiplantae; Streptophyta; Magnoliopsida; Malpighiales; Euphorbiaceae
Source: RNAcentral